AUCCAGCUGAAGAGUCCCAAAUAGGACGAAAUACGCCUCCUGGAU
Molecule: non-coding RNA, 45 nt
Organism: Trichobilharzia regenti
Lineage: Eukaryota; Metazoa; Platyhelminthes; Trematoda; Strigeidida; Schistosomatidae
Source: Rfam